AGCGGACAGAAGGGAGCUUGCUCCCGGAUGUUAGCGGCGGACGGGUGAGUAACACGUGGGUAACCUGCCUGUAAGACUGGGAUAACUCCGGGAAACCGGAGCUAAUACCGGAUAGUUCCUUGAACCGCAUGGUUCAAGGAUGAAAGACGGUUUCGGCUGUCACUUACAGAUGGACCCGCGGCGCAUUAGCUAGUUGGUGGGGUAAUGGCUCACCAAGGCGACGAUGCGUAGCCGACCUGAGAGGGUGAUCGGCCACACUGGGACUGAGACACGGCCCAGACUCCUACGGGAGGCAGCAGUAGGGAAUCUUCCGCAAUGGACGAAAGUCUGACGGAGCAACGCCGCGUGAGUGAUGAAGGUUUUCGGAUCGUAAAGCUCUGUUGUUAGGGAAGAACAAGUGCGAGAGUAACUGCUCGCACCUUGACGGUACCUAACCAGAAAGCCACGGCUAACUACGUGCCAGCAGCCGCGGUAAUACGUAGGUGGCAAGCGUUGUCCGGAAUUAUUGGGCGUAAAGGGCUCGCAGGCGGUUUCUUAAGUCUGAUGUGAAAGCCCCCGGCUCAACCGGGGGAGGGUCAUUGGAAACUGGGAAACUUGAGUGCAGAAGAGGAGAGUGGAAUUCCACGUGUAGCGGUGAAAUGCGUAGAGAUGUGGAGGAACACCAGUGGCGAAGGCGACUCUCUGGUCUGUAACUGACGCUGAGGAGCGAAAGCGUGGGGAGCGAACAGGAUUAGAUACCCUGAUAGUCCACGCCGUACACGAUGAGUGCUAAGUGUUUAGGGGGUUUCCGCCCCCUUAGUGCUGCAGCUAACGCAUUAAGCACUCCGCCCUGGGGGAGUACGGUCG
RNAcentral lists this ribosomal RNA (846 nucleotides) under Bacillus pumilus. RNAcentral's name for it is "bacterial SSU rRNA". It matches the Rfam family "Bacterial small subunit ribosomal RNA", at positions 65 to 888 of the family's 1533-position model. The record is from RNAcentral. Lineage: Bacteria; Bacillati; Bacillota; Bacilli; Caryophanales; Bacillaceae.